This 255-nucleotide ribosomal RNA is filed under the name Valettietta anacantha. RNAcentral's name for it is "partial 16S ribosomal RNA". The record is from RNAcentral. Lineage: Eukaryota; Metazoa; Arthropoda; Malacostraca; Amphipoda; Valettiopsidae.
CCCUAAAAGCUUAAGUUUAAGCUUUUAUUUAGUGUAUGUAUAGAUAUAUUACUUGUAAUUUAAAUUUUAGCUGGGGUAGUGGCUUUAAUAAAUUUAAGGUUGAUGAAACAGUAAAUAAUUGGUGAAGGUCCUUUAUAUUAGGAUACAUAGAGUUAGUUACUUUAGGGAUAACAGCGCUAUAGUCUCAAGGAGACCAUAUCUAUGGGAUUGAUUGCGACCUCGAUGUUGAAUUAGAAGAUCGGUGUGGAGCAGAAA